Long non-coding RNA from Triticum dicoccoides, 384 nucleotides. RefSeq lists it as uncharacterized. The transcript is spliced from 2 exons. The record is from RefSeq and is a predicted model, not a curated record. NCBI's taxonomy places the organism in Eukaryota, Viridiplantae, Streptophyta, Magnoliopsida, Poales, Poaceae.
CGACGCUGGUGUCGCUGCCCGUCAUCAACCUCUCCCGCGGCCGCGACGAUGUCCGCCAGGCCGUGCUCCACGCCGGCAAGGAGCUUGGCUUCUUCCAGGUAAUUCAUGCACGAUUGACAACACGUACACAGGGCUGAUAUAGACUGUGCACUCUCUGCAAUUAACGAAGCUAAUGGUUUUAUUAAAGGAAAAUCAUGAACAUACCGGAGUUGAUAAGAUAAUCAUAGAGAACUAGGCUGUAGCCUAGUGGCAAGGGAGCAUAGUGGCGUCUCCAGCAACUAGGGUUCGAGCCACAUCGGGGACGAAUUUCUGGUUUCUCACAAGGGAUGCUUCUCCUAUAUCAAUAAACCAUGGGUGCUAGUGCCUAUGAGUUUCUUUUUUUUU